GAUGAACGCUGGCGGCGUGCUUAACACAUGCAAGUCGAACGAUGAAGCCCAGCUUGCUGGGUGGAUUAGUGGCGAACGGGUGAGUAACACGUGAGUAACCUGCCCUUAACUCUGGGAUAAGCGUGGGAAACGGGGUCUAAUACCGGAAAGACGCGUUCACUGGACGGGGGGUGUUGGAAAGAUUUAGCGGUUUUGGAUGGACUCGCGGCCUAUCAGGUUGUUGGUGAGGUAAUGGCUCACCAAGGCGACGACGGGUAGCCGGCCUGAGGGGGUGACCGGCCACACUGGGACUGAGACACGGCCCCGAGUCGUACGGGAGGCAGCAGUGGGGAAUAGUGCAGAAUGGGCGCCAGCCUGAUGCAGCGACGCCGCGUGAGGGAUGACGGCCUACGGGUUUUAAACCUCUUUCAGUGGGGAAGAAGCGAAAGUGACGGUACCUGCAGAAGAAGCACCGGCUAACUACGUG
This 466-nucleotide ribosomal RNA is filed under the name uncultured bacterium. Its description in RNAcentral is "partial 16S ribosomal RNA". It matches the Rfam family "Bacterial small subunit ribosomal RNA", at positions 28 to 507 of the family's 1533-position model. The record is from RNAcentral.